RNAcentral lists this ribosomal RNA (249 nucleotides) under uncultured bacterium. Its description in RNAcentral is "partial 16S ribosomal RNA". It matches the Rfam family "Bacterial small subunit ribosomal RNA", at positions 8 to 248 of the family's 1533-position model. The record is from RNAcentral.
AGAGUUUGAUCAUGGCUCAGGAUGAACGCUAGCUACAGGCUUAACACAUGCAAGUCGAGGGGAAGCAUGAACUUAGCUUGCUAAGUUUGAUGGCGACCGGCGCACGGGUGAGUAACACGUAUCCAACCUUCCGUUUACUCAGGGAUAGCCUUUCGAAAGAAAGAUUAAUACCUGAUAGUAUGGUGGGAUUGCAUGAUAGCACCAUUAAAGAUUUAUUGGUAAACGAUGGGGAUGCGUUCCAUUAGGUAG